Molecule: transfer RNA, 75 nt
Filed under: Heterodermia speciosa
Lineage: Eukaryota; Fungi; Ascomycota; Lecanoromycetes; Caliciales; Physciaceae
Description: tRNA-Asp
Source: RNAcentral
UGGGUUAGUAGUUUAACUGGUCAAAUCCGUUCUUGUCGAGAACGUGUAUGCCGGAUCGUGACCGGCCUAACUCGU